Molecule: ribosomal RNA, 475 nt
Filed under: uncultured Bacteroidota bacterium
Lineage: Bacteria; Pseudomonadati; Bacteroidota
Description: uncultured Bacteroidetes bacterium partial 16S ribosomal RNA
Source: RNAcentral
AGUACGUCCAGCUCCGACACGUCGGAGUGUUUCUUCCUGUAUAAAAGCAGUUUACAACCCGUAGGGCUUUCAUCCUGCACGCGGCAUGGCUGGAUCAGACUUUCGUCCAUUGUCCAAUAUUCCUUACUGCUGCCUCCCGUAGGAGUCUGGUCCGUGUCUCAGUACCAGUGUGGGGGAUCCCCCUCUCAGGGCCCCUACCUAUCGUAGUCUAGGUGAGCCGUUACCUCACCUACAAACUAAUAGGACGCAUGCUCAUCUUUUACCGUUAAAACUUUAAUCUUAAAAUCAUGAAAUUAAAAGAUAUUAUAGAGGAUUAAUCCAAAUUUCUCUGGGCUAUACUCUAGUAAAAGGUAGAUUGCAUACGCGUUACGCACCCGUGCGCCACUCGUCAUCUGGUGCAAGCACCAAUGUUACCGUUCGACUUGCAUGUAUUAGGCCUGCCGCUAGCGUUCAUCCUGAGCCAUGAUCAAACUCU